This 999-nucleotide long non-coding RNA is filed under the name Homo sapiens (human). Its description in RNAcentral is "HSALNT0231451". Lineage: Eukaryota; Metazoa; Chordata; Mammalia; Primates; Hominidae. The record is from RNAcentral.
GACGUAAACCUUUAUUGUAUUAAGCCACUGAGCAUUGGAGGUUGUUUCUAUGGCAGCAGAGCCUAGCCUACUCUGACUACUUUGAGGACUUUGUCCAUGAAUGUGUUCCUGUUCACUCUAGAAUUUUAACUGACAGCCCGGUAGAGAGAAGCAUUGUGAUGAUAAUGAUGACGAUGAUGAUAUCACUGAGUGCUGGAAAAGGUUUCUGCCACUACCUUCCUAGACUCAUCUAAGUGGAUGGACUCCAGGGGAUGGAGAAUGGAAGGCAGCAGAUGUUUGUUGACUUCUUGCUCUAUAUCGGGCACUGUGCUAGAUACCAUACACGCCAUCAACAUUUAGGACAGUAUGACAAAGGAGAAUGAAAGCUGUCUCUUGUAGAUAGGAUAUUUUCAGCCGUCAUCACCAUGGACUCUUUGAAAUGUACUACUUCAGAAAAGCCACAGUGACUCCCUCUGGGCCUCACCCACCUGAGAUGACAUCACGACGCAAAUCUAGGACUUACGCUCUUCAUACGGAUGGAAUGGAUCUAAUUUUAGCAACAUGAUGAAUGGCCCAGGAAUGUAUUCCACUGCCCUCUGCAGAAAGGAAUAUAUAUCAGACCUGCUCAGGUGUGUGUCAUUUCUUUAUACUGGGAGCUUUCAGCAGCCCAAGUGGCAGCUGGGUUUUUCUGACUGAAAGCCGCAAGUUCUGUCUCUAUUUGGGCUCGGGCAGACACCACUAGGAAACGGCCAUGUGUGAACAAUACCUAGAUUUGCUAGCUCAGCCAAUGAGGCUUAUGGUUCUCCUAUGCCCGGGUUUAUUGCACCAGCUGGAAAAUGACCAAUUGUUUUUUAUCUUCAUUGACGUGCAAGAUCUGUUUGUGUAGGAUCACAUUCAAGUCCCCCCUGCCUUCUUCCAUUUCUAAAAAUUUGAUCUUUAAACAAAGAUAUUUCUUUAAAAUGUGGGAGUCAGGCUGGGCGUUGUGGCUCGCACCUGUAAUCCCAGCACUUUCGGAGGCUG